ACGUAGGAUCCAAGCGUUGUCCGGAUUUACUGGGUGUAAAGGGUGCGUAGGCGGACUUGUGCGUUAGAGGUUAAAUCCUUCGGCUCAACCGAAGAACUGCCUUUAAUACGGCGAGUCUUGAGUGCGAGAGAGGAUAGUAGAAUUCCUGGUGUAGCGGUGAAAUGCGUAGAUAUCAGGAGGAAUACCAGUGGCGAAGGCGGCUAUCUGGCUCGUAACUGACGCUGAGGCACGAAAGCGUGGGGAGCAAACAG
This 251-nucleotide ribosomal RNA is filed under the name uncultured prokaryote. RNAcentral describes it as "partial 16S rRNA". It matches the Rfam family "Bacterial small subunit ribosomal RNA", at positions 525 to 775 of the family's 1533-position model. The record is from RNAcentral.